Molecule: long non-coding RNA, 737 nt
Organism: Trichechus manatus latirostris (Florida manatee)
Lineage: Eukaryota; Metazoa; Chordata; Mammalia; Sirenia; Trichechidae
Exons: 3
Source: RefSeq, a predicted model, not a curated record
AGUUACUGUCUCCCGCUCUCUGGAUACUGCCAGGUCAUAACCCACCUCUCAUGUCUCUGCCUUGGCAAGCCUGCUGUUGUGGUGUCUCCCCAUCAAGUAAAAGAACAUCUUCUGCAGCAGUGCACAGAAUCUCUUCAAAGACAAAUGUGGACAUAUUGAUUCCACUCACUGCGACUGAACCUUGAAAAUCAAGCCAACGAUUGAUAAGCACCAGGAAUGUGAGCCUGAGUCUGGUAUUUGCCGAGCUUCAGGCUUUAACAUCAUGUUAUUUCUACCUGAGAUCACUACCUUCCCACCCUGUGGCAGGUUCUUCAGGACAAAUCUAAUGGAGCCUCAGCCUGUGCAAUGACUGGAAUACUGCUUCAAUAGCACUUGUCCCCCAAGGAUGCUCCCAAGAGGCAUUAAGGAAACGUGGCUGAAGGCAUAGGCCACCUCUACCCCUCCACACUCACUAGUAUAUCUCUUUGAGCAUGAGAGAAGAAAGUCACUACAGAGAUCAUCCAAGACUUCAUUGUGAAUAGAAAAACCGCACUGAAAUGAAGAGUACAGGGGAAGAAGGGCUGCAAGUUCCCAUCCAGCAAGAAAAGCCAGGGGGUGACUUGUGUCUGCCAGGGCUUUGCCCUGGGAAGGGCAGACCUAGGAAAAUCACCAAUGUAUCCCCACGUUUACUCUGUGUUCCAACAAUUGUUUUCAUAUGGACAUCCAGUUUUGCCAGCACCAUUUGUUAAAAAGACUGU